This is a long non-coding RNA of Haliotis rubra (blacklip abalone), 300 nucleotides long. RefSeq lists it as uncharacterized. The record is from RefSeq and is a predicted model, not a curated record. The transcript is spliced from 4 exons. Lineage: Eukaryota; Metazoa; Mollusca; Gastropoda; Lepetellida; Haliotidae.
GAUAAUCGACUGUGAAAAAUUACACAGAAUCAACAAAGGCGUCCUUGGGGCUUUCAAAGAAUUAAACACUCUUAAAAUAAUGAAAAGCGGCUUGCAGGAAGUUCCUGACUUUUCCAGAUUCAACACAAGUUCCAAAGAUUCCAACGGAACAAUGUAUGAGAUAGAUCUAUCAACCAACAGAAUAAAGUCAAUACCAACACGCAGCUUUUCCAACGUCAAGUCGUACGUUCUUCGACUUGAAAACAACGAGCUUGAAACAGUUGAAGAUAAUGCUUUUCUGGAGCUCAGAUAGCAAAACUG